GCACAAGCGGUGGAGCAUGUGGUUUAAUUCGACGCAACGCGCAGAACCUUACCAGCCCUUGACAUGUCCGGGACCGGUCGCAGAGACGUGACCUUCUCUUCGGAGCCCGGAACACAGGUGCUGCAUGGCUGUCGUCAGCUCGUGUCGUGAGAUGUUGGGUUAAGUCCCGCAACGAGCGCAACCCCCGUCCUUAGUUGCUACCAUUUAGUUGAGCACUCUAAGGAGACUGCCGGUGAUAAGCCGCGAGGAAGGUGGGGAUGACGUCAAGUCCUCAUGGCCCUUACGGGCUGGGCUACACACGUGCUACAAUGGCGGUGACAAUGGGAUGCUAAGGGGCGACCCUUCGCAAAUCUCAAAAAGCCGUCUCAGUUCGGAUUGGGCUCUGCAACUCGAGCCCAUGAAGUUGGAAUCGCUAGUAAUCGUGGAUCAGCACGCCACGGUGAAUACGUUCCCGGGC
Molecule: ribosomal RNA, 457 nt
Filed under: uncultured bacterium
Lineage: Bacteria
Description: bacterial SSU rRNA
Rfam family: Bacterial small subunit ribosomal RNA
Source: RNAcentral